RNAcentral lists this ribosomal RNA (835 nucleotides) under Biatoropsis millanesiana. RNAcentral describes it as "Biatoropsis sp. AM-2020a partial large subunit ribosomal RNA". It matches the Rfam family "Eukaryotic large subunit ribosomal RNA", at positions 1 to 962 of the family's 3401-position model. The record is from RNAcentral. Lineage: Eukaryota; Fungi; Basidiomycota; Tremellomycetes; Tremellales; Tremellaceae.
GACCUCAAAUCAGGUAGGGCUACCCGCUGAACUUAAGCAUAUCAAUAAGCGGAGGAAAAGAAACUAACAAGGAUUCCCCUAGUAACGGCGAGCGAACCGGGAAGAGCUCAAAUUUGAAAUCUGGCGUCCUCUGGGCGUCCGAGUUGUAAUCUAUAGAAGCGUUUUCCGCGCCGGACCGUGUCCAAGUCCCUUGGAACAGGGUAUCAAAGAGGGUGACAAUCCCGUACUUGACACGCCAACCGGUGCUAUGUGAUACGCUCUCUACGAGUCGAGUUGUUUGGGAAUGCAGCUCAAAAUGGGUGGUAAAGUGAGGAUUCAGCCGGCCAUGCCGGUGCACUUCCCCUCGAUGGGUCAACAUCAGUUUUGUCCGGCGGAUAAGGGAGAUGGGAAAGUAGCACCCCCGGGUGUGUUACAGCCCUUCGUCGCAUACGCCGGACGGAGACUGAGGCAUGCAGCUCGCCCUCUUUUUGGGCCGGGGUUCGCCCACGACCGAGCUUAGGAUGUUGACAGAAUGGCUUUAAACGACCCGUCUUGAAACACGGACCAAGGAGUCUAACAUACCUGCGAGUGUUUGGGUGUCAAACUCGGACGCGGAAUGAAAGUAAACGAAGGAGGGAUCCGCAAGGAGCACCUUUGACCGAUCUGGAUCUUCUGUGAUGGAUUUGAGUAAGAGCAUGUAUGCUGGGACCCGAAAGAUGGUGAACUAUGCCUGAAUAGGGCGAAGCCAGGGGAAACUCUGGUGGAGGCUCGUAGCGAUUCUGACGUGCAAAUCGAUCGUCAAAUUUGGGUAUAGGGGCGAAAGACUAAUCGAACCAUCUAGUAGCUGGUUCUUGCC